GUGUGUUUUGUGAUGUCAAGGGUUGAACCCAAGGUUUUAUACAUGCUAGAUAUGCACUUUAUGACUGAGCCACACCUCCAGCUCAUUAAUGUGGCCUGGUGACAGAGCAUUUGAGAUGGAAAAUGUCGGACAUACUGAUGGCUUGUCAUCAGGUUAUCCAACUGUCCUUCAUUUGAAGGUGAACAUGAAGCAAAAUCAUUAAAUAUUUGACCCAAAGGAAGUUGACAAGAAUGUGAUCUGGAUAAUCUCCAGAGAGACUCAUUUUGAUCCACUAGGAAAGGGAGAACAAAAUGAGACUUGGAUGGAGUAUCAGGGCUGAAAUGAGUGAGCAUCAAAGCAAGGAGGCAAUCAGACUUCAGUUUUUCAUCCUGGCCAGCAGGGAAGCACAUGGGCCUAUUGGGGAGGGAGUCAACGUAAUCCAAGCUGGAAGAAAGCUGCUGGGAGACUAUUUCUUCCAAGGGCUCCGACUCCCAGAGACCAGACACUCAUGCUCCACAUUCCAUCUUGGGACUGACUUUUCAGAGCAUGCAGUCCUUUGGGGAGGGAACUUUGUCACAGGAGUGAAUGCUGUGCAUCGUCCCUCUGUGCACUGGUGAUGUGGUCCAGCUUCUUCAGGAAACAGUCAUGCAGAUGCUUCAGGACUCAGGUCCCAUUGCAGAAGAUGAAUGGUCGCCAACCAGAGAUCCAGACAAGGGCCUCAGGAUGUGAUAUCUGGAAGUUUUUCUGGCAUGGGAAGGGGUACCAUUUUUCUGGGGGAGGGCAGGUACCAUUCUGCACAGCAUCAUGGGACUGGUAGAUUCUAUGACAUGAAUGUUUCUUGGAAAUGGUGGGGUCCUGCUUGUAGAAUGCUGCUACUGUCACCUUCCAGCUUCGAUGGGCACACACAACGCAUCUCUUGAGGUGUCUGUCAACUCACAAUGUAUUUCAGAAAUAUUAGAACACUAUAAUGUGUACGCUUGGUGACAUAUGAACUGAAGAAAAUGUGUAUAAACCAUCUUCCAAACAUAAAGGAAAUGUUUGGUUCUGUAUGUAAUAGAUAA
Molecule: long non-coding RNA, 1040 nt
Organism: Peromyscus eremicus (cactus mouse)
Lineage: Eukaryota; Metazoa; Chordata; Mammalia; Rodentia; Cricetidae
Exons: 2
Source: RefSeq, a predicted model, not a curated record